AAUGGUUCGUAGAAUGUUUUGAGACAAGGUUGGUCACAGAUGGUUAUAGUUAUAUGGAGAGAGUUGAUGUUUUCUCUCUUGUUCGAGUAUUACGAGGGAUUUAAAUGGAGGUUCGAUAUCGAAAUAGCGGCCGUUAUAUAGCGGUAGCAGCACCGUCCAAAAUUGCUAUUGCUGAAAAUAGCAGUGUGAAGCGGAGUCACAUCGAUAGCGGUGGAUCGCGGCUGCAAUUUAAUGGGUAACGGCCAAUUGCGGCAAUAACAGGCCGCUAUUCUCG
This 274-nucleotide long non-coding RNA is filed under the name Gossypium barbadense (sea-island cotton). RNAcentral's name for it is "long non-coding RNA (GBAR_LNC012786)". Lineage: Eukaryota; Viridiplantae; Streptophyta; Magnoliopsida; Malvales; Malvaceae. The record is from RNAcentral.